AUUGAACGCUGGCGGCAGGCCUAACACAUGCAAGUCGAGCGGAUGAAGGGAGCUUGCUCCUGGAUUCAGCGGCGGACGGGUGGGUAAUGCCUAGGAAUCUGCCUGGUAGUGGGGGAUAACGUCCGGAAACGGGCGCUAAUACCGCAUACGUCCUGAGGGAGAAAGUGGGGGAUCUUCGGACCUCACGCUAUCAGAUGAGCCUAGGUCGGAUUAGCUAGUUGGUGGGGUAAAGGCCUACCAAGGCGACGAUCCGUAACUGGUCUGAGAGGAUGAUCAGUCACACUGGAACUGAGACGCGGUCCAGACUCCUACGGGAGGCAGCAGUGGGGAAUAUUGGACAAUGGGCGAAAGCCUGAUCCAGCCAUGCCGCGUGUGUGAAGAAGGUCUUCGGAUUGUAAAGCACUUUAAGUUGGGAGGAAGGGCAGUAAGUUAAUACCUUGCUGUUUUGACGUUACCAACAGAAUAAGCACCGGCUAACUUCGUG
Molecule: ribosomal RNA, 484 nt
Filed under: uncultured bacterium
Lineage: Bacteria
Description: partial 16S ribosomal RNA
Rfam family: Bacterial small subunit ribosomal RNA
Source: RNAcentral